CAGCAGCCACGGGAAUACGAAGGGGGCUAGCGUUGUUCGGAUUUACUGGGCGUAAAGGGCGCGUAGGCGGGCGAAUAAGUCAGGGGUGAAAUCCCAAGGCUCAACCUUGGAACUGCCUUUGAUACUGUUUGUCUUGAGUUCGAGAGAGGUAAGUGGAACUGCGAGUGUAGAGGUGAAAUUCGUAGAUAUUCGCAAGAACACCAGUGGCGAAGGCGGCUUACUGGCUCGAAACUGACGCUGAGGCGCGAAAGCGUGGGGAGCAAACAGGAUUAGAUACCCCCGUAGUCCCUGUCUCUUAUAC
RNAcentral lists this ribosomal RNA (301 nucleotides) under uncultured bacterium. RNAcentral's name for it is "partial 16S ribosomal RNA". It matches the Rfam family "Bacterial small subunit ribosomal RNA", at positions 509 to 807 of the family's 1533-position model. The record is from RNAcentral.